RNAcentral lists this ribosomal RNA (328 nucleotides) under uncultured eukaryote. RNAcentral's name for it is "partial 18S ribosomal RNA". It matches the Rfam family "Eukaryotic small subunit ribosomal RNA", at positions 1470 to 1796 of the family's 1831-position model. The record is from RNAcentral.
CCCUUAGAUGUCCUGGGCCGCACGCGCGCUACACUGAUGCAUGCAACGAGUUUAUAACCUUGGCCUGAAAGGUCUGGGUAAUCUUUUGAACGUGCAUCGCGAUAGGGAUAGAUUAUUGCAAUUGUUAAUCUUGAACGAGGAAUUCCUAGUAAACGCGAGUCAUCAGCUCGCAUUGAUUACGUCCCUGCCCUUUGUACACACCGCCCGUCGCACCUACCGAUUGAAUGGUUCGGUGAAGAUCUCGGACUUCGAUAUUUAUUCUUUAUUGAGUUUAUAUUGUGGGAAGUUAUCUAAACCUCAUCAUUUAGAGGAAGGUGAAGUCGUAACA